ACCAUCCCAGUUCGGAUUGCAGGCUGAAACCCGCCUGUAUGAAGUUGGAAUCGCUAGUAAUCGCGGAUCAGCAUGCCGCGGUGAAUACGUUCCCGGGCCUUGUACACACCGCCCGUCACACCAUGAGAGUCGGGAACACCCGAAGUCCGUAGCCUAACCGCAAGGGGGGCGCGGCUGAAGGUGGGUUCGAUAAUUGGGGUGAAGUCGUAACAAGGUAAC
RNAcentral lists this ribosomal RNA (219 nucleotides) under uncultured bacterium. RNAcentral describes it as "partial 16S ribosomal RNA". It matches the Rfam family "Bacterial small subunit ribosomal RNA", at positions 1282 to 1500 of the family's 1533-position model. The record is from RNAcentral.